UCCGAUAUUGAUACUUUGACAUCAGUGAAGUCGGUCAGCAAUAAACAAGUGUUUUAUUAUCAAAUAUAUUUCACAGUAUGGACAGUAAUGUUUUCAUAUAACUUGCCUAUUUGAAGUGUAGCCUAAUACACAUACAGAGGCGCGCGCGCGCGCAAACACACACACACACACACAGCUAUCCUAAAAGAUUGUCAAAGAGAUUUACACUUGUCUCUGCCCGAACAGACAACCUCUCAGGCCAUAAGAGUGGAGAGCUGGAGCCAGGGUGUCUGGACCCCGUGAGCCACUUCCAAAUCCGGAUUAAAAAACGCGAUAAAAAUGUAGAGUAAAACGCACAAAAAAACAACGAUACUCUCGCGAUAAACGGCUCGAGGCUAACCACAGCAACAGCAGCAGCAACAACAACAACAACAACAACACAAACAGAGAUAGUGUAUAAAAGUGCACCGGCAAGCUCCGUUACUCUCGCGCGCAGCUCGCGCUCCUCCGGUCCUGAACGAGGUGCGUCCCCGCCCUGCGCUACACAAACAAAACCCCGUCGUGUUUUCUGUCUCUGAAGCUUUUCUGUGUGUCUUUUGGGUUUUUCUGUCACGGCUGUGAGAUGAGCAGGACUCCGAGCUGUCACGGGUCAGAGGAGAGAAACUCCGCGCUGACACAGCACAACUUCUCUCCACGCCUUUUAAUCUGAGUGGAAAGUUCUAGUGUGACAGAAGGGAAGUAUUUCAUCUCAGAGAGAACACUGUGGAAUUACAAGAGCAGACUUUGGAGAACAAAAAGAUUUUUUUUUCUCUCAUACUCGAAAAAAGAGGCCUGUCGCUGAUUGACAAUACCCAGGUCCACUGCUUCCACUAAAAACAUUAGGAAGAAAGGAGGGAGAAAAAAACACCAAAUGAGAUUUGUUGUCGAAUCCGGCGAGGGACAUCAAUGCUAAAUUAAUUUCUGCUCGUUGGAUUUGGAAGACAUUGUGUUCAGGCCAGUCCCGAGAGAAGAUACAAGCUUAUCAAGAAGGUCUGGAGAAUACUGAUGCUUUGAUGAAUCUUAGUGCUUUUCUGAAUCUUCCCAGUAGUACAUACAGGAUCCAUGUUUCACUGACGUGCAAAGGAGGUAAGCUCUUCCAAACUAAUCCUGUGAAAAUCCAUACUUUCUCCAUGCAUCCCAAAACACUUGGUUUAUCCCUCUCAUGAUCACAGUCAUGGCACAGCAGCAAACAAGCCCUUUCGAAUUUACUGCUUCUUUGUAGAGGACCAUGUCUGUGUCAGGAGGUUACAUAAACCACAUGGUUGGUGUGCCCAGAAACAUGAGCCAGACAUCAUUCUUUGGAGCCUGUCCCAUCGGAUGAGGGGAGGGGAUGGGUGCAAGUUAUGGACAUAUAACUUUGCCAUUUGUUGGGCCCAUCUGUGUGUCUGCUGUAUGACUUGCUGCAUGAAAUAUUCAAGGUCCAGUGAAAAGUGAUCUGAUGGUUGGUGUCAAGACUCCCCCUCCUUCUUCUGGUUGUCUAUACCAGAAACUAACCCUUACCAACUGCGGAAAAAAAAAAAAAAAAAAGCAAACAAAAAAAAAAAUAGGCAGGUGACACCUUCUAGCAGUGCUCCAGCUUCCAUGUCCCAAUUUCAUACACCUUUCUUG
Pangasianodon hypophthalmus (striped catfish) is the source of this 1626-nucleotide long non-coding RNA. RefSeq lists it as uncharacterized. Lineage: Eukaryota; Metazoa; Chordata; Actinopteri; Siluriformes; Pangasiidae. The transcript is spliced from 3 exons. The record is from RefSeq and is a predicted model, not a curated record.